CGGUAAUUCCAGCUCCAAUAGCGUAUAUUAAAGUUGUUGCAGUUAAAAAGCUCGUAGUUGAACCUUGGGCUUGGUUGGCCGGUCCGCCUUUUUGGCGAGUACUGGACCCAACCGAGCCUUUCCUUCUGGCUAACCUUUCGCCCUUGUGGUGUUUGGCGAACCAGGACUUUUACUUUGAAAAAAUUAGAGUGUUCAAAGCAGGCCUUUGCUCGAAUAUAUUAGCAUGGAAUAAUAGAAUAGGACGUUAUGGUUCUAUUUUGUUGGUUUCUAGGACCAUCGUAAUGAUUAAUAGGGACGGUCGGGGGCAUCAGUAUUCAGUUGUCAGAGGUGAAAUUCUUGGAUUACCUGAAGACUAACUACUGCGAAAGCAUUUGCCAAGGACGUUUUCAUUAAUCAAGAACGAAAGUUAGGGGAUCGAAGAUGAUCAGAUACCGUCGUAGUCUUAACCAUAAACUAUGCCGACUAGGGAUCGGGUGUUGUUCUUUUUUUGACGCACUCGGCACCUUACGAGAAACCAAAGUCUUUGGGUUCUGGGGGGAGUAUGGUCGCAAGGCUGAAACUUAAAGGAAUUGACGGAAGGGCACCACCAGGAGUGGAGCCUGCGGCUUAAUUUGACUCAACACGGGGAAACUCACCAGGUCCAGACACAAUAAGGAUUGACAGAUUGAGAGCUCUUUCUUGAUUUUGUGGGUGGUGGUGCAUGGCCGUUCUUAGUUGGUGGAGUGAUUUGUCUGCUUAAUUGCGAUAACGAACGAGACCUUAACCUACUAAAUAGUGCUGCUAGCUUUUGCUGGUAUAGUCACUUCUUAGAGGGACUAUCGAUUUCAAGUCGAUGGAAGUUUGAGGCAAUAACAGGUCUGUGAUGCCCUUAGACGUUCUGGGCCGCACGCGCGCUACACUGACGGAGCCAACGAGUAUUAACCUUGGCCGAGAGGUCUGGGAAAUCUUGUGAAACUCCGUCGUGCUGGGGAUAGAGCAUUGUAAUUAUUGCUCUUCAACGAGGAAUUCCUAGUAAGCGCAAGUCAUCAGCUUGCGUUGAUUACGUCCCUGCCCCUUGUACACACCGCCC
RNAcentral lists this ribosomal RNA (1069 nucleotides) under uncultured eukaryote. Its description in RNAcentral is "SSU rRNA". It matches the Rfam family "Eukaryotic small subunit ribosomal RNA", at positions 577 to 1674 of the family's 1831-position model. The record is from RNAcentral.